GUCAGAAUAUUGCGCAAUGGGUUAACCGCCUGACGCAGCGAUGCCGCGUGGAGGAAGACGGCCAUACGGUUGUAAACUCCUGUCGGGAGGGACGAACACGGGCUCGGCCCGUUGACGGUACCUCCAAUAGGAAGCCUCGGCUAACUACGUGCCAGCAGCCGCGGUAAUACGUAGGAGGCGAGCGUUAUCCGGAAUCACUGGGCGUACAGGGUCCGUAGGCCGACUCGCGUGUCGAAUGUGAAAGCCCGGGGCUCAACUCCGGAAGUGCAGUCGAAGCUGUGAGCCUAGAGGAAGCCAGAGGGUGAUGGAAUUCCCGGUGUAGCGGUGAAAUGCGUAGAUAUCGGGAAGAACGCCAGUGGCGAAAGCGAUCACCUGGGGCUUUCCUGACGCUGAUGGACGAAAGCUAGGGGAGCGAACG
This 418-nucleotide ribosomal RNA is filed under the name uncultured bacterium. RNAcentral describes it as "bacterial SSU rRNA". It matches the Rfam family "Bacterial small subunit ribosomal RNA", at positions 355 to 774 of the family's 1533-position model. The record is from RNAcentral.